This 363-nucleotide transfer-messenger RNA is filed under the name Salmonella enterica. It matches the Rfam family "transfer-messenger RNA". From Rfam's summary of the family: Bacterial tmRNA, also known as 10Sa RNA or SsrA, is named for its dual tRNA and mRNA-like properties. The record is from RNAcentral. Lineage: Bacteria; Pseudomonadati; Pseudomonadota; Gammaproteobacteria; Enterobacterales; Enterobacteriaceae.
GGGGCUGAUUCUGGAUUCGACGGGAUUUGCGAAACCCAAGGUGCAUGCCGAGGGGGGGUUGGCCUCGUAAAAAGCCGCAAAAAAAUAGUCGCAAACGACGAAAACUACGCUUUAGCAGCUUAAUAACCUGCUUAGAGCCCUCUCUCCCUAGCCUCCGCUCUUAGGACGGGGAUCAAGAGAGGUCAAACCCAAAAGAGAUCGCGCGGAUGCCCUGCCUGGGGUUGAAGCGUUAAAACGAAUCAGGCUAGUCUGGUAGUGGCGUGUCCGUCCGCAGGUGCCAGGCGAAUGUAAAGACUGACUAAGCAUGUAGUACCGAGGAUGUAGGAAUUUCGGACGCGGGUUCAACUCCCGCCAGCUCCACCA